Molecule: ribosomal RNA, 475 nt
Filed under: uncultured organism
Description: partial 16S ribosomal RNA
Rfam family: Bacterial small subunit ribosomal RNA
Source: RNAcentral
ACACUCCUGCGGGAGGCAGCAGUGGGGAAUAUUGCACAAUGGGCGCAAGCCUGAUGCAGCCAUGCCGCGUGUAUGAAGAAGGCCUUCGGGUUGUAAAGUACUUUCAGCGGGGAGGAAGGCAAUACGGUUAAUAACCGUGUUGAUUGACGUUACCCGCAGAAGAAGCACCGGCUAACUCCGUGCCAGCAGCCGCGGUAAUACGGAGGGUGCAAGCGUUAAUCGGAAUUACUGGGCGUAAAGCGCACGCAGGCGGUCUGUCAAGUCGGAUGUGAAAUCCCCGGGCUCAACCUGGGAACUGCAUUCGAAACUGGCAGGCUUGAGUCUUGUAGAGGGGGGUAGAAUUCCAGGUUUAGCGGUGAAAUGCGUAGAGAUCUGGAGGAAUACCGGUGGCGAAGGCGGCCCCCUGGACAAAGACUGACGCUCAGGUGCGAAAGCGUGGGGAGCAAACAGGAUUAGAAACCCGAGUAGUCCCAUG